GGCCCGGCGGGAUGGUCCGCCUUACGGUGUGUACUGUCUUGCUGGGUCUUACCUCUUGGUGAAGCCUCAUGCCCUUUACUGGGUGUGGGGUCGAACCAGGAAUUUUACUUUGAGAAAAUUAGAGUGUUCAAAGCAGGCCUUUGCCCGAAUACAUUAGCAUGGAAUAAUAGAAUAGGACGU
Molecule: ribosomal RNA, 180 nt
Filed under: uncultured Glomeromycotina
Lineage: Eukaryota; Fungi; Glomeromycota
Description: partial small subunit ribosomal RNA
Source: RNAcentral